Delphinapterus leucas (beluga whale) is the source of this 691-nucleotide long non-coding RNA. RefSeq lists it as uncharacterized. NCBI's taxonomy places the organism in Eukaryota, Metazoa, Chordata, Mammalia, Artiodactyla, Monodontidae. The record is from RefSeq and is a predicted model, not a curated record.
GCUUGCUUACAAGCAGCACUGAUCACACCCCGGUUGCACUGGGCUCCCAGCGGCUACAGAGUCCCGCGCUGAGCGGGAAGAGGAGCCCCCGAGCUGGGCAGGGGUGGGGUCGCGCUCCAAGCGCUGGGGACGCAGGGGGGCGGCGAGGCCGGGCCCUCCCCGAGGCCGAGCGGGGCCCACGCCCCCGGGCUCCGGUCACCCCACCCGGCCCGCUCGGCUACCCGGGCUCACCGGCUCCGGCGCUCUCCAUAGCGCUGGCGUUGGCUGGCGGCAAGUCUGUGCAGGCGGCUGCGGCCUGGCGCUGCAACCUGGGGCCAGCCGGGAGAUGACAGUGUACACUGCCAAGAUAACUGGAUUGGAAGGGUUCCAGUUCAAGCUACCACACUUUUCCUAUUCCUCCGCCCACCUCUGACCUCCGACCUCCAGGGCCUGCUGCUGAAUUGGCAUAUUUGUUCUGCCAGGCUCCUUCUGUGUGGAGUUUCUUCGGUCCUCCCCAUCAACUACAGCUGUAAAUGUUCAUCAAGUAGUGAAAUGGAGCAGGACCCUGUGGGGCCCUCCUGGUACAAAUCCUUUCCGUGUCCCCCGUUUCCUGUUUGUAGGAAAUAGGCUUCAUUCAGCCUCCUUGACCCUCCCUGAGUUCCAAAGGCAGAUUCAAACAGUUGCUAAUCAAGGAAGAGAGGGAAUUCAGAAA